Molecule: transfer RNA, 81 nt
Filed under: compost metagenome
Description: tRNA-Leu
Rfam family: tRNA
About the family: Transfer RNA (tRNA) molecules are approximately 80 nucleotides in length. Their secondary structure includes four short double-helical elements and three loops (D, anti-codon, and T loops).
Source: RNAcentral
GCAGCUAUGAUGAAAUGGUAAACAUGUUGGUUUUAGAUUCCAAUCCUUAAUAGGUUGAGGGUUCGACUCCCUUUAGCUGUA